Molecule: long non-coding RNA, 1185 nt
Filed under: Gossypium barbadense (sea-island cotton)
Lineage: Eukaryota; Viridiplantae; Streptophyta; Magnoliopsida; Malvales; Malvaceae
Description: long non-coding RNA (GBAR_LNC000951)
Source: RNAcentral
UUUUUAGGAAGGCACCUGAACGCCCAUCCUCGACCUGAGAGGUUACUGCUGUCUUUCUUUUUGUACACAGCUCGUGUAAUUUCAGCACAUAUGAAGAUUUUGGACCUGAUAUAUAUCGGGUAUAGUUGGUUGCACAUAUGAGUUAACUGCUUCUGCAGUAUCUUCUCUUUCUGAGGUUUUUAUAUUUGUCAAAAUUUUGAUUCUUCUCUUUAAAGCUGGACUUAAUAAAUUCUCAAAGCUUCAAGUAAGCAUGUUACCUCCACAGCUUCCCCCACCCCCGCCCCCCCCCCCCCCAAAAAAAAAAAAAAGAGAAAUCGACAUGAUUUGAUUAGAUGACGCGGAUGCGUAGGUACAACUGUUUGUCUUUACACGAGGUAAAAAAAACUCUUGUUUUCAAUUCGUUUGACUUUUAUCUCAAACCGUAAGCACCGCUUGAGCCCUUUUCUUCCUUUGCACUCCCUUUGCCGGCCAACGACCAGCUGCCGGUGGUUGGCUGUACCUCUCCUUGUCCUAUAUUCUCUUUUCCAUGCUCCCUUCCUCUUUGAAUAAUAAUCCCCACUAUGAUUUGUGGUUUCGGCGGUUCUUUUGGAUAGAUUCAAUGCUGAUAGCAUCGGAACUAACGAUUUGGAACGUUUUGGGCUAUUCUCUCUUCUGAGCUGGGUUUUGCUGAGGGCUGGGUGUGGUGCUUUGUUGCUGGUGAUGUACCCUACUUCAGGAUGAGAGUUUCGCUGCGGCUACGGAUGGUGGAUGGUUGGGCGGUGCCAAAGCCUACAAAUGCAACUUGUUUUGGUUUGUUUCAACCUUCCGAUCCAGUUGUUGAUCUGGGCUUGCCGUCGUUGGUGGCUGAUCUCUGACUGUUCGAGUGGUUUCAGGUUUCGGAUUUAAUCCGACAUCUCUUGGCUGGCAAUUCGUGAUGUUUGAUUUCUUUAUGUGACGUUCUUCAUUAUUUUUCUCCCUUGCUUACAAAGCAAGGUUACUAGUGAAAAUAGAGAUUGUUCGAUAAUAGAGAUCAUAUGCACUAAUGUUUUCACAUUAGUUGCUAAUGCCAAAGUGAACGGUGAUGAUCUCUCCUUUAUUUUUUGCAUUAUUAAAAUAAUACAAAAAAUAAUUACAAAAAUAGAUAGAUUGUAGAUUAAUUACGAAAAUUUGGGUACUGUCAAUGUGUUAGGCGGUACUAGCUAUAAA